This 524-nucleotide long non-coding RNA is filed under the name Cottoperca gobio. Its description in RNAcentral is "lncRNA (ENSCGOG00000016230.1)". Lineage: Eukaryota; Metazoa; Chordata; Actinopteri; Perciformes; Bovichtidae. The record is from RNAcentral.
UACAAAGAGCCGGCUCUCAGAGCCAAUGCUUGUGCGCAUGACCCAUCACUAACGGACACACCCCUCUAAGAUGUCACGGCAUAUUAUUUGAGGAUAAAAGGCAUAUUCUUCAUCAGUAGAUUAACACAUUCUCCCUCUUUCUGCAGCCAAGCAAGAACAGACAAACAAUACUCCUUUUUCACAACAGGAUGAGAGAUCUUGGAGAACAUUUGAAGAUUUUCAGUUGAUAUUGGAAACUAGAAGAAAAUGAGAGAUCCACUCAUCAACAUCGGAGAAGGAAGCGUGGUGAUUGGAUUAAGUACAGCGGACGUUGACGCGGUCACCGCCCACGGCUUCUUCCGACCAGCCAGCCAGAAAGUCAGACCUGUCGGUCCAAACACCACUGAGAGUGACCGAAUCUUUGGGGUAGAACCCACAUGGUUGAAUGCACUUAUUGUAAGUCGCUUUGGAUAAAAGCAUCAUCUAAGUAAAUGUAAUUCAACGUAAUGCAAAAGACUUGGUGUAUAUAAGUUAUUUCAGUAACU